RNAcentral lists this ribosomal RNA (324 nucleotides) under uncultured bacterium. RNAcentral describes it as "bacterial SSU rRNA". It matches the Rfam family "Bacterial small subunit ribosomal RNA", at positions 470 to 793 of the family's 1533-position model. The record is from RNAcentral.
UGACGGUACCUUAGGAGGAACGCCCCGGCUAACUACGUGCCAGCAGCCGCGGUAAUACGUAGGGGGCAAGCGUUAUCCGGAAUCACUGGGCGUAAAGGGUGCGUAGGCGGCUUAGCAAGCCAGGGGUGAAAGGCAUUGGCUCAACCAAUGUAAGCCUUUGGAACUGUUAAGCUUGAGUGCAGGAGAGGUAAGUGGAAUUCCUAGUGUAGAGGUGAAAUUCGUAGAUAUUAGGAGGAACACCAGUGGCGAAGGCGACUUACUGGACUGUAACUGACGCUGAUGCACGAAAGCGUGGGUAGCGAACAGGAUUAGAUACCCUGGUAG